GGGUUGUGAGGUUAAGCGACUAAGCGUACACGGUGGAUGCCCUGGCAGUCAGAGGCGAUGAAGGGCGUGCUAAUCUGCGAUAAGCGCCGGUAAGGUGAUAUGAACCGUUAUAACCGGCGAUACCCGAAUGGGGAAACCCAGUGUGAUUCGUCACACUAUCAUUAACUGAAUCCAUAGGUUAAUGAGGCGAACCGGGGGAACUGAAACAUCUAAGUACCCCGAGGAAAAGAAAUCAACCGAGAUUCCCCCAGUAGCGGCGAGCGAACGGGGAGGAGCCCAGAGCCUGAAUCAGCAUGUGUGUUAGUGGAAGCGUCUGGAAAGGCGCGCGAUACAGGGUGACAGCCCCGUACACAAAAGCGCAUGUGCUGUGAGCUCGAUGAGUAGGGCGGGACACGUGGUAUCCUGUCUGAAUAUGGGGGGACCAUCCUCCAAGGCUAAAUACUCCUGACUGACCGAUAGUGAACCAGUACCGUGAGGGAAAGGCGAAAAGAACCCCGGCGAGGGGAGUGAAAAAGAACCUGAAACCGUGUACGUACAAGCAGUGGGAGCACAGGUUUACCUGUGUGACUGCGUACCUUUUGUAUAAUGGGUCAGCGACUUAUAUUCUGUAGCAAGGUUAACCGAAUAGGGGAGCCGGAGGGAAACCGAGUCUUAAUUGGGCGUUAAGUUGCAGGGUAUAGACCCGAAACCCGGUGAUCUAGCCAUGGGCAGGUUGAAGGUUGGGUAACACUAACUGGAGGACCGAACCGACUAAUGUUGAAAAAUUAGCGGAUGACCUGUGGCUGGGGGUGAAAGGCCAAUCAAACCGGGAGAUAGCUGGUUCUCCCCGAAAGCUAUUUAGGUAGCGCCUCGUGAAUUCAUCUCCGGGGGUAGAGCACUGUUUCGGCUAGGGGGCCAUCCCGGCUUACCAACCCGAUGCAAACUGCGAAUACCGGAGAAUGUUAUCACGGGAGACACACGGCGGGUGCUAACGUCCGUCGUGAAGAGGGAAACAACCCAGACCGCCAGCUAAGGUCCCAAAGUCAUGGUUAAGUGGGAAACGAUGUGGGAAGGCCCAGACAGCCAGGAUGUUGGCUUAGAAGCAGCCAUCAUUUAAAGAAAGCGUAAUAGCUCACUGGUCGAGUCGGCCUGCGCGGAAGAUGUAACGGGGCUAAACCAUGCACCGAAGCUGCGGCAGCGACGCUUAUGCGUUGUUGGGUAGGGGAGCGUUCUGUAAGCCUGUGAAGGUGGCCUGUGAGGGUUGCUGGAGGUAUCAGAAGUGCGAAUGCUGACAUAAGUAACGAUAAAGCGGGUGAAAAGCCCGCUCGCCGGAAGACCAAGGGUUCCUGUCCAACGUUAAUCGGGGCAGGGUGAGUCGACCCCUAAGGCGAGGCCGAAAGGCGUAGUCGAUGGGAAACGGGUUAAUAUUCCCGUACUUGGUGUUACUGCGAAGGGGGGACGGAGAAGGCUAUGUUGGCCGGGCGACGGUUGCCCCGGUUUAAGCGUGUAGGUGUGUGUUCCAGGUAAAUCCGGUUCACUUUAACACUGAGGCGUGAUGACGAGGCACUACGGUGCUGAAGUAACAAAUGCCCUGCUUCCAGGAAAAGCCUCUAAGCAUCAGGUAACAUCAAAUCGUACCCCAAACCGACACAGGUGGUCAGGUAGAGAAUACCAAGGCGCUUGAGAGAACUCGGGUGAAGGAACUAGGCAAAAUGGUGCCGUAACUUCGGGAGAAGGCACGCUGACACGUAGGUGAAGUGAUUUACUCAUGGAGCUGAAGUCAGUCGAAGAUACCAGCUGGCUGCAACUGUUUAUUAAAAACACAGCACUGUGCAAACACGAAAGUGGACGUAUACGGUGUGACGCCUGCCCGGUGCCGGAAGGUUAAUUGAUGGGGUCAGCGCAAGCGAAGCUCCUGAUCGAAGCCCCGGUAAACGGCGGCCGUAACUAUAACGGUCCUAAGGUAGCGAAAUUCCUUGUCGGGUAAGUUCCGACCUGCACGAAUGGCGUAAUGAUGGCCAGGCUGUCUCCACCCGAGACUCAGUGAAAUUGAACUCGCUGUGAAGAUGCAGUGUACCCGCGGCAAGACGGAAAGACCCCGUGAACCUUUACUAUAGCUUGACACUGAACAUUGAGCCUUGAUGUGUAGGAUAGGUGGGAGGCUUUGAAGUGUGGACGCCAGUCUGCAUGGAGCCGACCUUGAAAUACCACCCUUUAAUGUUUGAUGUUCUAACGUGGACCCGUUACCCGGGUUGCGGACAGUGUCUGGUGGGUAGUUUGACUGGGGCGGUCUCCUCCUAAAGAGUAACGGAGGAGCACGAAGGUUGGCUAAUCCUGGUCGGACAUCAGGAGGUUAGUGCAAUGGCAUAAGCCAGCUUGACUGCGAGCGUGACGGCGCGAGCAGGUGCGAAAGCAGGUCAUAGUGAUCCGGUGGUUCUGAAUGGAAGGGCCAUCGCUCAACGGAUAAAAGGUACUCCGGGGAUAACAGGCUGAUACCGCCCAAGAGUUCAUAUCGACGGCGGUGUUUGGCACCUCGAUGUCGGCUCAUCACAUCCUGGGGCUGAAGUAGGUCCCAAGGGUAUGGCUGUUCGCCAUUUAAAGUGGUACGCGAGCUGGGUUUAGAACGUCGUGAGACAGUUCGGUCCCUAUCUGCCGUGGGCGCUGGAGAACUGAGGGGGGCUGCUCCUAGUACGAGAGGACCGGAGUGGACGCAUCACUGGUGUUCGGGUUGUCAUGCCAAUGGCACUGCCCGGUAGCUAAAUGCGGAAGAGAUAAGUGCUGAAAGCAUCUAAGCACGAAACUUGCCCCGAGAUGAGUUCUCCCUGAGACUUAAAGUCUCCUGAAGGAACGUUGAAGACGACGACGUUGAUAGGCCGGGUGUGUAAGCGCAGCGAUGCGUUGAGCUAACCGGUACUAAUGAACCGUGAGGCUUAACCCUACAACGCCGAAG
RNAcentral lists this ribosomal RNA (2929 nucleotides) under Salmonella enterica subsp. enterica serovar Dublin. Its description in RNAcentral is "bacterial LSU rRNA". It matches the Rfam family "Bacterial large subunit ribosomal RNA". The record is from RNAcentral. Lineage: Bacteria; Pseudomonadati; Pseudomonadota; Gammaproteobacteria; Enterobacterales; Enterobacteriaceae.